Molecule: non-coding RNA, 1720 nt
Organism: Chrysemys picta bellii (western painted turtle)
Lineage: Eukaryota; Metazoa; Chordata; Testudines; Emydidae
Source: RefSeq, a predicted model, not a curated record
GGAUCCAGGCCCUGACGUGCGCGAGCGGCGCGGCACGGCGCGAACAACCCCGGGCUCUGGCCGCGGCCUGCCCCCACCCCCGCGCGCGGAGGGAGGAAGGAGCCGCUUCACAGCCCACAUCCGGCCCGGGCGGGCUCCGGCUGAAGUGCGGCUUAGGCCGGAGUCGUUCUGCGGCUCGGGCCCCAUUCAGCGCCCCGUGUCCGGCGGAGGGGCCCGGCGUUUCCUUCGCCAACCCGGGGUAGCUGCUCGGUGCGCCAGCCCCGCCAGCGGCAGUAAUCCCCGCCAUCUGGCCCAGGGCCCGACGCCCGGCCAAGGCUGAACAGAAACGGCACCCUACGCUCCAGCAGGAACUGCCCUGCCAUAUAUGGCCCUUCCUCCGCUCCUAAUAUGGCGCUUCCUAGGCCCAUACAAGGUGUUUCCUUCCCGGCGGUGCCGGCAGCCGGGCUCGGCCCCCCGAUCCCGAGCUGCGCCCAGACGGCCCCGCCUCAGCGAACAGCAGCAGGAGACAUCACCACCACCAAGCGACUGAAGCGCUGAUCAAAGGGGAGAGCCUGGCUGAAGGGCAACCAGCCAGCCUGUGGUGAGAAGCAUCUAAGUUUAGGACUCGUCCAAGUCAGUGGAGCAGCCCAGCCAGAUGUGGAGCUGGAAGAAGAGGACCUGAGCAGCCUGGACAUCCCACUUGGCAGUGGACUGAGGAUCCCAAGAGUCCUGCCUGGUGGUGACAGUGAUGGGGGAGGAGCAGGUGUCCAUUUUCCUUCAGUUAUGUCUCUAUCAAAUGUCUGAGUAGCUAGAGCCCUACCUGAGAGCAGAGCGAUGCUUCUCGUUUGCAUGCAAAGGGUCCUGGGGAGGGUGGAGCUCUGCCUUUGGCUGGGAGCAUCGCCCUGCUCCCCAAGACUGAAUGUGACCUGCAACUAGGGACACUCUGGUAUUCCCAGUCUGUCCUUCCACAUCACUGGGUGUGAGUCACUGGACACAAUGUUGUUUACCUUGGCUGUACUCAAUCUUCUCUUCCUUCAGAGCAGUGGCUCUCAACCUUUCCAGACUACUGUACCCCUUUCAGCAGUCUGAUUUGCCUUGGGUACCCCCAAGUUUCACCUCACAAAAAUUAUUUGCUUACAAAAAUACAGAAGUGUCACAGCACACUAUUACUGAAUAAUUGCUUACUUUUUCCAUAUUUUUUUACUUUCACCAUAUUAUAAAUCAACUGGAAUAUAAAUAUUGUACUUACAUUUCAGUGUAUAGAGAAUGGAAGACCCCUGGAAGACAUUGCAUACCUCCAAGGGUACAUGUAUGCCUAGUUGAGAACCACUGCUUCAGAGGACCUGAGCAUCCUGGUUAGGCAUGGGAUUUGUGGGAUGGGAUGGGGAUAGGGAGGGACCUGGUGGGACUGUCGUUGCUUACCAGUGCUGAUCACUUCAAACACUGGCUAAGCUGGAGGGGAAUUGCGGGAAGGGGGUUCCAGGAAGCAGAAUCCAGGUGACCUGACUCUGUGUGUCCUCCACAUACAAAUGCUGGCCUAGGUUAUAAGUGUUCUCGCUUUCUAUAUACAGUUCCUAAUGACACUGGGUAGAUGAGAGAAUGGACAACCUGUCUGCAGGAUCAGGGCCAAUCCCUCUAUGAACUCAGUCGUGUAAGGACAGACCUUUGCUCCAGGGUUAAACUUCGUUUUCAAGCACAUUUUUAAAAACUCCAGAUUAUAAAAUCUGUAGCAUAACCAGGA